RNAcentral lists this transfer RNA (76 nucleotides) under Bacillota bacterium. Its description in RNAcentral is "Firmicutes bacterium (anaerobic digester metagenome) tRNA-Met". It matches the Rfam family "tRNA". Rfam says of the family: Transfer RNA (tRNA) molecules are approximately 80 nucleotides in length. Their secondary structure includes four short double-helical elements and three loops (D, anti-codon, and T loops). The record is from RNAcentral. RNAcentral also lists the same sequence under 1 other name. Lineage: Bacteria; Bacillati; Bacillota.
CGCGGGGUAGAGCAGUUGGUAGCUCGUCGGGCUCAUAACCCGGAGGUCGUUGGUUCAAGUCCAGCCCCCGCUACCA